AGCAGCCGCGGUAAUUCCAGCUCCAAUAGCGUAUAUUAAAGUUGUUGCAGUUAAAAAGCUCGUAGUUGAAUUUCGGGAUCAAUCUGCCGGUCGUGCCUCCGGUAUGCACUGGUUUUAUUGGUUUCUCCCUUCUGACGAAUCAUGAUGUCAUUAAUUUGGUGUCAUGGGGAAUCAGGACUGUUACUUUGAAAAAAUUAGAGUGUUUAAAGCAGGCUCACGCUUGAAUACAUUAGCAUGGAAUAAUGAAAUAGGACGUUUGACCCUAUUUUGUUGGUUUCUAGGAUCGACGUAAUGAUUAAUAGGGAUAGUUGGGGGGCAUUAGUAUUCAAUUGUCAGAGGUGAAAUUCUUGGAUUUAUUGAAGACUAACUACUGCGAAAGCAUUUGCCAAGGAUGUUUUCAUUAAUCAAGAACGAAAGUUAGGGGAUCGAAGACGAUCAGAUACCGUCGUAGUCUUAACCAUGAACUAUGCCGACUAGGGAUCGGAUGAUGUUAUUUUUUAAUGACUCAUUCGGCACCCUA
RNAcentral lists this ribosomal RNA (520 nucleotides) under uncultured Glomus. RNAcentral describes it as "SSU rRNA". It matches the Rfam family "Eukaryotic small subunit ribosomal RNA", at positions 569 to 1090 of the family's 1831-position model. The record is from RNAcentral. Lineage: Eukaryota; Fungi; Glomeromycota; Glomeromycetes; Glomerales; Glomeraceae.